Long non-coding RNA from Pseudopipra pipra, 2429 nucleotides. RefSeq lists it as uncharacterized. The record is from RefSeq and is a predicted model, not a curated record. NCBI's taxonomy places the organism in Eukaryota, Metazoa, Chordata, Aves, Passeriformes, Pipridae. The transcript has 3 exons.
UCCCUGGAUCUUGGCAGUAUGAGGCCACAUCAUUUCAAACUGUGAACAACAGAGGGAAUGACCAGACUCAUCCUGCAGUUUGUCCCACUUCACUGGAAUACUUAGAAAUUCUUAUGCAAAGCUGCUUCUUCCCCUUCUCCCGGUAAUAUUGCGGAUUCAAUACUUUUGUGGAUCUCACGUGGGACAAACCUUCCUUGAAGAAAUGACGUGCAGCAAUAGACUGUGUGCCUUAAGGCAGAAAAACGUAUAAAGGUACCUGGGAAAGUAAAUUGCCAGAAGCAAAGAGCACCUCCCUUUCAAAAUAGUGUAAGUACUCUUCUCACCUACAUCAAACCGAUCUUAUGCAGAGCAGCGCUAGCUGUUUUGAGGUUUGUUGGCUUUUGCAAAUAUCUCUCCUUUCAAUGCACACACGACGACGUGUGCUCCUGUGUUUAUGUGUGUGCACAUUUCAGUAUUAUCAGUUGCUAAUGAAACUGAAGAUUACAGGGGUAAAUACGGAAGACUCAUUGCUGUAGCUACUUUUUUAUUGUAAUUCUUUUCUUUUUUUCCAAAUAAGACUAUAAAACCCCGUGGGGAAAAGCCUCCUAGAGAUGUGUGGUGAGGAGUAAAGCCGAUGCAACGUAAGUAGAGAACUGUAGACCUCCACCACGCUGAAAAAAAGCCCAGAAUAAAAGUUUCGCACGAUGUAUAUACAUCUGGGGUUUUCCUAGCUAUUCCGCCAGGAAUCUCCUCUAUUCUUUCGGGAGCCCAGAACAGCAGCACCGCAGAUUCCUCACACACAAUCAAUACAUUUUGCAUAACACGAGUCUCUCUCGCACGCUCUCCUCUUCCUCCCUCUCUAUUUUGCUUUGCCCUUCGUCGGUGGACGGGGUUUCUACAAGGGGCUUUUCUUUUAAGAAAUUAGCGCCGACGAUAGAGUCUCAUAAGUAAAACCUGCUUUCUCGUGUCAAAAAUUUCACUGCAGCCCACCACAACAACCUUUCAAGCAUGCAGUUCGGCUUCAGACAGACACAGCUUGUCUUUCUCCAGUUUCUCCUCUCACCCCCUCCCUUUCUAUUCCUCUUACAGCAGUGCUUUAAUAAAGUCACAUAAGUGAUUGAAAUUAACAUAAAUCAUUAUUAGUUAUUAGGAUUUGCUCUAAAUUACUCUGUGAAUAUAACACCAAACCCCAUCUGCCACUCCUGCUCUAGCAGCAAUAGAUUGCAGAUAAAAUAAAUGUCCUUACCCCAUUAGAAUGUUCCUGUCUCUGUAGCCAAAAGCCAAACAAAAGCAAUAAAUACAGAGCUUUUUUCUCUCCACUAUUCAGCUGUGACUGUUUUCAUCAGCUCUUCCUCUAGAAAAGCUCAAUAGCUGCCUGAAAAUAUUGCAUUUUAUAUCACCAAAGGGCGAUUAAUAUUGCAUUAACUGUAUUUAACAUUUUUUAAGCGCGAGUAAUCUGAAAUGAGUAAGUUUCUGAUACUAAAUACAGGGGAUGUCAGAGCUGGUGAAAACAGCUUAAAAUAUCUGUAUAAACAGAUUAUUUGUUUCAUACUUUGUAUUUUUAUAAUGUUAUGGUAUAGUGUGCUCUGUUUGAAGUAGAAGAAGCCAUGCUAAUGGUCUGUUUAAAGUAUUCUGACACUGUCUGGAGACAUCCAAGUCUCUGCCUUCAUUAAAUGUUUAUUGUCAACACUUCAGUGAAAAAAAAAGUCUUGUGUAAGUGAAUUUCCACUGCUGGAUGCUGUCAACACUUUGUUUUAUUCUGAUCCGCGUGUACAAAAGUUUGUAUACAUUAUGCUGAAGUGAAGAGCGACAGAGAUUUAGUGAGCUAUAAUUAGUUACCGAGCAAACUUUUGUUAGUAAUUCCGUUUACAUAAUGACCAUAAUCAAGGGCUAAGUUAUGUAUAUCGGCGCCUUGUCUUCUUUCCGCGCAGCCCGUAAGAAGAUGUAUUCAUGUUAACAUGCUGUCCUCUUGUCAAGGAACACCUUUUUUAAAAUAGAGUAAAACAAACAAACUAACUAACUAACUAAAACAAAACCAAAAACGCCACACCCACAACUUUUACAUCUUCUAGCUCUGGUUCACAAUGUUAAAUUGCUUUCUUCUACCCGGGCAAGGGAUGAAAAACCGCCUCGGUCCUUCUCUGCACCCCGGUGUUUGCAGCAUGAGCUGGUGUCUGCUCCCGCUGCUGGACCCGGGAUUGGGAUGGUUUGUCCCCGCACCGAGACCCGCCCCGUGCUAGAGCCCGUGCGAGCAGGAGGGAUGGUUGGCAUUCCUACCCAACGAGGCAUUCUGGAGACUUUUAUGACUCACUUAUGAAAAUCAGUGGGAAGUUACAAUUUGUCUUCAACGUACCAGGGCCGAAUGUCUUUUUAAGAAAAUAUUAAAUUAAUUUUUAUAUAAAGCCUUUUAAAUACUUCAGUCUUUAGACUGAUUAACGUCUUACAACAUA